GCUCUAAUAUUAUAAGUAAGUAUAUCAUCUUUCCAAGUUGAAGGUUCAUUUUUAAUGAUUAGCGUA
Molecule: transfer RNA, 66 nt
Filed under: Neomazocraes dorosomatis
Lineage: Eukaryota; Metazoa; Platyhelminthes; Monogenea; Mazocraeidea; Mazocraeidae
Description: tRNA-Gly
Source: RNAcentral